Molecule: small RNA, 1332 nt
Filed under: Olea europaea subsp. europaea
Lineage: Eukaryota; Viridiplantae; Streptophyta; Magnoliopsida; Lamiales; Oleaceae
Source: RNAcentral
GAGGAUCAAAUCUUGGGCUAAAAUUAGACUUACGAAGACAUAAAUGAUUGAGAAGGUUGCAAUUGUCCAAUAUCGUCCCAUAUAGGCAUCGGCUAGAAAGGCUCCCAGCAGAGGUGUGACAUAGCACGUACCAGACCAAUUCGUAACGUUAGUAACUGCCACAACAUUGUUCUUGUUCAUUUGAAAUUUGAGAUAAUUUACCAGAUUUGUGUUGAUCCCAUAAUAUGCCAACCUCUCACAACAUUCAUUUCCUAUUCAACCAAACAAUAUUGGAAACAUAAAGCGAAAAAACAACAAAAUCGAGAGAUGUUAAAACAUUUCAUCUACGAAAUGAAGAAGAGAUACCAAGGAUGUAAGGACAUGCUUUCCAGGUCCCAGUUUCCCGUUUGAUUGCAGGUUUAUUACAAUAAUCUGUCGUCCCAUCUUUCGUAUAUAUAUCUUCUUCAGCCAUGAUUUUAGAUACAGAAAGUCACUCAAUUUUCAGUGUUUGAUGCCUCAAUUCUGCUCAAGUAAUUUAAGGAAGCCAGAGAGAGAAAGAGUAUUGAAAAGUGUAAAUAAAUAUGAGCAAAUAGUAAUAGCUGGUCAAUCUUAUAAUUUCCAUGCACAACUACAGAUAAGAGGUAGGUCUUGAGUUUUAGAAGACCAAAGCCCUUAUCUUAUUAUAUAUAAAAGGAAAGGUGAAAAUAUCAUACUGCAUUGCAUCACUUUUUUCCACGAUAGCGAGUAGUUCCAAUUCCAGACCUAUUUUCAUCAAACUCCAAAAUUCACCAGCAGUGAUUACCUUCCAUCUCUCCUUAAAAAAACCUAAGCUUUGAACUUAAUCUCGUGAAAUCCUUUAUCAUGGUUGCAAAGCAUAGUAAAAGAACCAGAAGGUUGACCGUGAUGUUUGUAGCUCUAUCAAGUAGGUACACCAAAUACUUGCAAACCAGUAUCGCUAAGAGUAAAGGUGGAAUCCGUUACGAUCUUGGACAUCAUCAAAGAAGGGUGUUUUCUACGCCUAUGCUUAACAUGACUCAAUAAUAGAAGACAUUUCUUUGGUGCCCCACUUUUAUUAUUCUCCUUCUCUACCUUAAGUCUUUAUCGAGCAGUCACAUUUGAUGCGUAGUGUUAAAUCGUGUUAGACAAUACUUCUAUUUCUUUCUUCACNAAACCUAAACACCCAAGGAUUCUACAUCAACCCUAACACCACUUGUCAAACAAUUCCAUUACAAGUAGGACAUUCUUUAUAAUAGAAAUUCCCUUGGAUAAAAACAUCCAACCAACACAAUCCUACUAGGAGUACACUACCUACUCCUAUAAAAGCAGAACCUUGGGCCAUUAUUCAGGUACGUU